UUCAUUCUGAUGUUUGGGGUCCUUUUUCCGUUACUUUUAAAACUGGAUUUGUUAUUUUGUUACUUUUAUUGAUGAUUACUCUCGUGUUACCUAGUUAUAUUUAAUGAAGAAUCGUUUUGAAUUAUUUUUUAUCUUUAAUGCUUUUUGUGUUGAAAUUAAAACUUAGUUUAAUACUUCUGUAUGUAUGUUAAGAAGUGAUAAUACUAAAGAGUAUAUUUCUGAGCACUUUCAGACCUAUAUGACUCAAAAUGGUAUUCUUCACCAAUCACGCUGUGUUGAUACACCAUCCCAAAAUAGUGUUGCCGAAAAAAAAAUCGGCAUAUUCUUGAUAUAGCUAGGGCACUUCUUUUCCAAAUGAAGGUACCUAAAUAUUUUUUGGCAGAUGCAAUUUCUAAAUGUUUUCUGAUUAAUCGCAUGCCAUCUUCUAUCCUUGAUGGGGACAUUCUUUAUACUAUUUUGUUUUCAUCCAGAUUAUUGUUUCCUAUUGAACCUCGGAUUUUUUGUUGUACUUGUUUUGUGCGAGAUGUUCGUCCAUAGAUCACUAAAUUAAAUCUCAAAUCUCUUAAGUGUGUCUUCCUCGGAUAUUUAUUUAUGAAAAUCAGGGGAGGAAGAUGAUCUUUUGGUUUACAUUGUCCAACAGUUGUCCAGUCCUAUCCAACAGUUUUCCAGUCCUCAGAAUCCUCUAGCUCCACCAGCUGUGUUGCUUAUUCUUUCCCUAUUUGUUCAUGAAUAUUUCAGGAGAGUAGAUACUCUUGACUUAGAUCCUCGACCGGCUUCUUCGUCAGAAGAUCCAGUCCAUCUCACUGAUCUUUAAUGUGAGCUAGAUCUUCCCAUUGCUAUUUGCAAAGGUAAGCGUACAUGUAUUUAUCCUAUCUCCUUUUUUGUCUCUUAUAAUCAAUCGUCUACUUUUUUCUCAUGUUUUGUUACUUCAUUAACUCUAUUUCCAUUCCUAAAACUAUUGUUGAGGCUUUGUCUCAAACUUGGCUGGCAUGUUGCAAUAGAAGAGGAGAUGGUGGCUUUAGAUACUAAUGGU
This 1033-nucleotide unclassified non-coding RNA is filed under the name Hevea brasiliensis (rubber tree). The record is from RNAcentral. Lineage: Eukaryota; Viridiplantae; Streptophyta; Magnoliopsida; Malpighiales; Euphorbiaceae.